RNAcentral lists this ribosomal RNA (611 nucleotides) under bacterium W13C28_B. RNAcentral's name for it is "bacterial SSU rRNA". It matches the Rfam family "Bacterial small subunit ribosomal RNA", at positions 62 to 719 of the family's 1533-position model. The record is from RNAcentral.
UCGAACGGAUCCUUCGGGAUUAGUGGCAGACGGGUGAGUAACGCGUGGGAAGCUACCUUGUGGUAGGGGACAACAGUUUGAAAAGACUGCUAAUACCCUAUGAGCCCUAUGGGGGAAAGAUUUAUCGCCAUGAGAUGUGCCCGCGUUAGAUUAGCUAGUUGGUAAGGUAAUGGCUUACCAAGGCGACGAUCUAUAGCUGGUCUGAGAGGAUGAUCAGCCACACUGGGACUGAGACACGGCCCAGACUCCUACGGGAGGCAGCAGUGGGGAAUAUUGGACAAUGGGGGCAACCCUGAUCCAGCCAUGCCGCGUGUGUGAUGACGGCCUUAGGGUUGUAAAGCACUUUCAGCAGUGAAGAUAAUGACAUUAACUGCAGAAGAAGCCCCGGCUAACUUCGUGCCAGCAGCCGCGGUAAUACGAAGGGGGCUAGCGUUGUUCGGAAUCACUGGGCGUAAAGAGUACGUAGGCGGACUGAUAAGUUAGGGGUGAAAUCCCAAGGCUCAACCUUGGAACUGCCUUUGAUACUGUCAGUCUUGAGAUCGAGAGAGGUGAGUGGAACUCCGAGUGUAGAGGUGAAAUUCGUAGAUAUUCGGAAGAACACCAGUGGCGAA